CUUUGUUAAAAUGGAUCAUGGUGGGGGUUUAGGUUGGGUAAAGAGGUAAAAUUACUAUAUACUGAAGCACUGGGCAAAGAUAAGGGACUUUAUCUGAAUAUAAAGAGCUAUUAGCAGAUUUCAGAAUCUAGGAUCUUGAAGAGCUAAAUUAAGUGCUUAUAGAUGAGUCUGUGAGUCUCAACAGAGGGUGAAAUAAGAUGUAUGAAAAUCCCCUCGGAGACUUUCUUCGAAUGAUACAGGCGUACUACCUACCACCUUUCAUUUGAGAAUCACUUUUCUAAGGUGUGACAAUGCAAAAUAAGAGCCAGUGGAGUACAGAUGAUACCAGAAGUACCCAGCUUCUUAAGCCCUGAUGGCAGUGGAUUUUCUAGCACGUUACUUUUAUGUAAUGAUAUACUAAAAGUUGGAUAAAUGCAAGAAAAAAGUAGAAGACCAUAUGCAUAAGAAUCAGUACCUAUUUGAUUGAAUAAGUAAAUGAAAACCACCUGUGGAAUUUUGUGGAACUGAUAGCAAACUCUUAUAUUUUGGCCUUUAUGCAGAUAACAUGCAAAUGAGGAAAAUUUACUUUUCACGAUUUAGCCCGUUUUUCCUAUUGGCUUUAAAGAAAUAACUUGUAUAUAUGAAUAUUAGGAAUUUCUGUUGAGGGAUGGUAAUUUUUUAUUUUUUUAUUGUACAGUUUUUAAUUUAUACAAUUAUUGAUAUCACUGGCCUAUUUAGUGAUAUUCAGAGUUUAGGUUUCUUAUAAGUUAAAGGUAGAAAGGAAUAUGUACUCUUAAGACACAUUUAGUGUAGCCAACCCAUAGUUUUCGUAACAUAUUUCUGAACAGUUGCUUUGGAGAAAGUAUAAUUUUUCUUAGGUAAAUAAAAGAGGACUUUCCCCAAAGGAUUUUGGUAGAAAGGGCAGUGCCUAACAAUUUCUUCAACACUGUCAUGACAAAGAGACAGUUGGACAUUUUGUGGAAGGGACUUGUAUUCUUGGCUGGCAUCUAAUAUUUUGUCAAACUCUUUAAUACUCUCUGUUUUAGGUUAUUUGUUGAUGGACAGUUGUAUCUGUUCUAGCUGUAUACUGUUCCCAGUUCAUAGUUUGUGUUAAUACUUGUGAAAAUAUAAUGCUAAACGAUGAGCUAUUGUAAUUAGACCUGAGACUUAGCAAGAAAUUCAUAAGGGCUCUAGAUUUUAUUUCAACUUAGUAUUAAAAAGACAUUUAACUUCAGUAAGUAAAUGUAGAUAUACUUUAUAUUUUAAGAGCUGUAAGUUCCAGCAAGUGAAUAAUGUA
Molecule: long non-coding RNA, 1276 nt
Filed under: Homo sapiens (human)
Lineage: Eukaryota; Metazoa; Chordata; Mammalia; Primates; Hominidae
Description: non-protein coding lnc-PACRG-3:1
Source: RNAcentral